GAUGAACGCUGGCGGCGUGCCUAAUACAUGCAAGUCGAGCGAACAGAUGAGGAGCUUGCUCCUCUGACGUUAGCGGCGGACGGGUGAGUAACACGUGGAUAACCUACCUAUAAGACUGGGAUAACCUCGGGAAACCGGAGCUAAUACCGGAUAAUAUAUUGAACCGCAUGGUUCAAUAGUGAAAGACGGUUUUGCUGUCACUUAUAGAUGGAUCCUCGCCGCAUUAGCUAGUUGGUAAGGUAACGGCUUACCAAGGCAACGAUGCGUAGCCGACCUGAGAGGGUGAUCGGCCACACUGGAACUGAGACACGGUCCAGACUCCUACGGGAGGCAGCAGUAGGGAAUCUUCCGCAAUGGGCGAAAGCCUGACGGAGCAACGCCGCGUGAGUGAUGAAGGUCUUCGGAUCGUAAAACUCUGUUAUUAGGGAAGAACAAAUGUGUAAGUAACUAUGCACGUCUUGACGGUACCUGAUCAAAAAGCCACGGCUAACUACGUG
This 497-nucleotide ribosomal RNA is filed under the name uncultured bacterium. Its description in RNAcentral is "partial 16S ribosomal RNA". It matches the Rfam family "Bacterial small subunit ribosomal RNA", at positions 28 to 507 of the family's 1533-position model. The record is from RNAcentral.